GUUACAAAGCACAAUAGACAUGCUUGUGCCUAUCUUAAAACUACAAUAUUACAGUGGUAGUCAACACGCGUUUAAAAAGGCUAAUGGUAAUUCGGCGGUUACCGUUUGAGCAGGGCGAUUUCGCCGAAAGCCUUCCGCGAUUAUGCCCCCUUCGGCAGUACUUUUCCAUUCAGUCGAAUAGGACCAUUCAAACGAUAGCGGAUAGGAUGAACGAAUUCCCUUAGUCGGACAUACGUGCCUAUGCAACUUGACGAUCUACGUGCGUCGAAGCAUAGCAAUUAUGUUUCGUGUAUACUUUGUUAUUAGCGUUUGUUUAUUUCCGCUCCUACAUUAACUGUUUCGGUUGGAUAAUAGGACUAUUUUGGCAUGACGCGCAAUCUGGACUACAGUUCGAACGUAUGAGCCUCGGAUUACUUCGUCAGCAGAUCGACUAACUUACUUUAGCGGACUGAUCGACGGACGAUGUACAUCCUGAAUAACUUCGAGAUCUAACUACUUUCCUGGGUUCUGCGGCACUUUUAUUAAUAGUCGUGAAUUUGAACUUUCUCAAAGAAAACCUCCAAAACGUUUUACAUUUUCCUAUUUAAGGACACUCAUUCAGUUGUCGCGACUGCAACGUAAGAAAACGCUUUGUAAGAUGUAGGUGCCGAUUGUGCCUCGUAUUGCAUUAGCACAUCUAACAUGAUUUUGUUAAUUCGAAAAUGAAAAUGUCCGUCCGUGAGGUGUUGCAUUAGAAGAAGGGAUUUUUUUGUUUUUGACAAAAGUGUUGUAUUCGCUGAAAAGAAAAUAAUUUUUCUAAAUUACACAACGAGCUCGAAAAAGCCCCGUUGGCUACUUGAUUGAUUCUCAACUUGGAUUUUUUUCU
This is a long non-coding RNA of Varroa destructor (honeybee mite), 865 nucleotides long. The record is from RefSeq and is a predicted model, not a curated record. Lineage: Eukaryota; Metazoa; Arthropoda; Arachnida; Mesostigmata; Varroidae.